This 254-nucleotide ribosomal RNA is filed under the name uncultured bacterium. RNAcentral describes it as "partial 16S ribosomal RNA". It matches the Rfam family "Bacterial small subunit ribosomal RNA", at positions 524 to 776 of the family's 1533-position model. The record is from RNAcentral.
CACGUAGGCACCAAGCGUUGUCCGGAUUUAUUGGGCGUAAAGAGCUCGUAGGCGGUUCGGUAAGUCGGGUGUGAAAACUUUGGGCUCAACCCAAAGCGUGCACUCGAUACUGCCAUGACUAGAGUUCGGUAGGGGAGUGGGUAAUUCCUAGUGUAGCGGUGAAAUGCGCAGAUAUUAGGAGGAACACCGGUGGCGAAGGCGCCACUCUGGGCCGAAACUGACGCUGAGGAGCGAAAGCGUGGGUAGCAAACAGG